GAUGAACGCUGGCGGCGUGCCUAAUACAUGCAAGUCGAGCGAACAGACGAGGAGCUUGCUCCUCUGACGUUAGCGGCGGACGGGUGAGUAACACGUGGAUAACCUACCUCUAAGACUGGGAUAACUUCGGGAAACCGGAGCUAAUACCGGAUAAUAUAUUGAACCGCAUGGUUCAAUAGUGAAAGACGGUUUUGCUGUCACUUAUAGAUGGUUCCGCGCCGCAUUAGCUAGUUGGUAAGGUAACGGCUUACCAAGGCAACGAUGCGUAGCCGACCUGAGAGGGUGAUCGGCCACACUGGAACUGAGACACGGUCCAGACUCCUACGGGAGGCAGCAGUAGGGAAUCUUCCGCAAUGGGCGAAAGCCUGACGGAGCAACGCCGCGUGAGUGAUGAAGGUCUUCGGAUCGUAAAACUCUGUUAUUAGGGAAGAACAAAUGUGUAAGUAACUAUGCACGUCUUGACGGUACCUAAUCAGAAAGCCACGGCUAACUACGUG
This 497-nucleotide ribosomal RNA is filed under the name uncultured bacterium. Its description in RNAcentral is "partial 16S ribosomal RNA". It matches the Rfam family "Bacterial small subunit ribosomal RNA", at positions 28 to 507 of the family's 1533-position model. The record is from RNAcentral.